This is a long non-coding RNA of Canis lupus familiaris (dog), 349 nucleotides long. RefSeq lists it as uncharacterized. The record is from RefSeq and is a predicted model, not a curated record. NCBI's taxonomy places the organism in Eukaryota, Metazoa, Chordata, Mammalia, Carnivora, Canidae. The transcript is spliced from 3 exons.
AGGAGCUGCAGGAACUCAUGCCCUUGGCCUGGAUGUUGCUGGUCACAAUAGGCUCCAUUAACAUUGCCUGCAAACGUUUGGGGUACAUGAGGCAUAAUGUCUUAAGAAGGAACUUGUGCUAUGGAAGCAAAGAACAAAGGGAGACUCAUUCAAAAGGAAGAAACGUUACAUUUGAUUGUGGUCAUGCGGUGGUGACUCCACUUGGCAGUUCCUCUACACUUCAAAAGAAAAUCCAAAGUGACACAAAAGCCCAGGCAAAGAAGUCAUAUCAUUUUCUCACAAAAUAAGAUGCAUAAAUAUCCUCAGGGCCUCAAUUAGAGAGAAGCUACAUUCUCAAAAUAGGAAACAU